UGAGGAAUAUUGGUCAAUGGUCGCUAGACUGAACCAGCCAAGUAGCGUGCGGGAUGAAGGCCCUCCGGGUCGUAAACCGCUUUUAGACGGGGAUAAAAGGGCGUACGUGUACGCCGUAUUGCAUGUACCGUCAGAAAAAGGACCGGCUAAUUCCGUGCCAGCAGCCGCGGUAAUACGGAAGGUCCGGGCGUUAUCCGGAUUUAUUGGGUUUAAAGGGAGCGUAGGCGGACUUUCAAGUCAGUGGUAAAAUCGUGUGGCUCAACCAUACCUCGCCAUUGAAACUGGAAGUCUGGAGUGCACACAGGGUGCCGGAAUUCAUGGUGUAGCGGUGAAAUGCUUAGAUAUCAUGAAGAACUCCGAUCGCGAAGGCAAGUGCCCGGGGUGCAACUGACGCUGAGGCUCGAAGGUGCGGGUAUCGAACAGAAUUAGAUACC
This 434-nucleotide ribosomal RNA is filed under the name uncultured bacterium. Its description in RNAcentral is "bacterial SSU rRNA". It matches the Rfam family "Bacterial small subunit ribosomal RNA", at positions 355 to 786 of the family's 1533-position model. The record is from RNAcentral.